Molecule: ribosomal RNA, 253 nt
Filed under: uncultured bacterium
Lineage: Bacteria
Description: partial 16S ribosomal RNA
Rfam family: Bacterial small subunit ribosomal RNA
Source: RNAcentral
UACGUAGGGUGCAAGCGUUGUCCGGAAUUAUUGGGCGUAAAGAGCUCGUAGGCGGCUUGUCGCGUCUGCUGUGAAAACUGGAGGCUCAACCUCCAGCCUGCAGUGGGUACGGGCAAGCUAGAGUGCGGUAGGGGAGAUUGGAAUUCCUGGUGUAGCGGUGGAAUGCGCAGAUAUCAGGAGGAACACCGAUGGCGAAGGCAGAUCUCUGGGCCGUAACUGACGCUGAGGAGCGAAAGCAUGGGGAGCGAACAGG